RNAcentral lists this ribosomal RNA (550 nucleotides) under Retama raetam. RNAcentral describes it as "SSU rRNA". It matches the Rfam family "Eukaryotic small subunit ribosomal RNA", at positions 548 to 1095 of the family's 1831-position model. Lineage: Eukaryota; Viridiplantae; Streptophyta; Magnoliopsida; Fabales; Fabaceae. The record is from RNAcentral. RNAcentral also lists the same sequence under 1 other name.
UUGGAGGGCAAGUCUGGUGCCAGCAGCCGCGGUAAUUCCAGCUCCAAUAGCGUAUAUUAAAGUUGUUGCAGUUAAAAAGCUCGUAGUUGAAUUUCGGGAUUGACAUAUCGGUCGUGCCUUAAGGGGUAUGAACUGGUGUAGUCAGUUUCUCACCUUCUGGAGAACCGCGAUGUCCUUAAUUGGGUGCCGCGAGGAACCAGGACCUUUACUUUGAAAAAAUUAGAGUGUUUAAAGCAGGCAUUUUGCUUGAAUACAUUAGCAUGGAAUAAUAAAAUAGGACGGAUGGUUCUAUUUUGUUGGUUUCUAGGAUCACCGUAAUGAUUAAUAGGGAUAGUUGGGGGCAUUAGUAAACAAUUGUCAGAGGUGAAAUUCUUGGAUUUAUUGAAGACUAACUACUGCGAAAGCAUUUGCCAAGGAUGUUUUCAUUAAUCAAGAACGAAAGUUAGGGGAUCGAAGACGAUCAGAUACCGUCGUAGUCUUAACCAUAAACUAUGCCGACUAGGAAUCAGACGAUGUUAAUUUUUUAAUGACUCUUUGGGGGGGGACGGGA